UCCAAGAACUCCGCACAGUCGUCAUUUCUAAUAGCGUGGCCAAUGGUUGCCGGUGUGUGGGGAAGGAGUGGCAGAACUCAACGGUGCUAGACGAAGGGUUCGUCCCUGCUUUGAGCGAAUGGUGGUCGAGAAAAGAAGCCAGUCUUCUGCCGAAAUUCUCCCUCUUUUCUUUCUGGCAAAAGUCCCUUUUAUAUGAGUGCGUCUUAAAUAAUGGUGCCCUUUUCCUUCAGGAGAUCCGCCUGUCAAUAGUGAAUUGCUUUGCUUCUUUCAAACUUAAUGCUUUUCAACUUGCCAAUGAAUUGAGUGGAGGGAAAUGGAAUGUGGAGAAUGUAUGCAGAGAUUGUGAGAGCAUGGAGCCAGUAAGGUCACCACUACAGCUACGUGAGGAAGAGAUGGAUCAUUCUCAUAACAAAAGACCAUCUCAUAAUUGGACAGUGUGAUCAAGCAAGAGUGGGGAAAAGAAGAAAGUAUUGUUUAAUUGGGCAAGCAUUUGCUCAGGAAACCACAUUUGGUUAGUUUCUUCAGUAGCAACAUCGUGUAUCCAAUAAAGUUUUACUUUUGGGAAUUCAAU
Molecule: long non-coding RNA, 571 nt
Organism: Notechis scutatus (mainland tiger snake)
Lineage: Eukaryota; Metazoa; Chordata; Lepidosauria; Squamata; Elapidae
Source: RefSeq, a predicted model, not a curated record